Molecule: RNA transcript, 1393 nt
Organism: Quercus lobata
Lineage: Eukaryota; Viridiplantae; Streptophyta; Magnoliopsida; Fagales; Fagaceae
Gene: LBO1
Gene name: 2-oxoglutarate (2OG) and Fe(II)-dependent oxygenase superfamily protein
Exons: 5
Source: RefSeq, a predicted model, not a curated record
AAUAGAGCUUUGUGCAAGAGUAGAGUUAACAAGUAAAACCUCUUUGCAUUCACUUACCUCUAAGUUCUAUUCCGAUGGCCCCCGUACCCCUUUCUCCAGUCAGGGUUGGGCACAUUGAUGAUGUCCAAGAACUAAGAAACGCUAAACCAACUACAAUUCCAGAAAGAUUUGUAAGGGACAUGACAGAGAGGCCAACACUAGCCACAGCUCUAUCAUCAACUAGUGACAUUCCAGUUAUUGAUUUCUCCAAGCUUAUAAAAGGAGACAAAGAUGAAGUCCAUAUUGAAAUUUUGAAGCUUGGAAUAGCUUGUGAGGAGUGGGGAUUCUUUCAGGUAAUCAACCAUGACAUUGAGCUUAGUUUGCUUGAGAGCAUAGAGAAGCUGGCCAAGGAAUUCUUCAUGCUACCUCUGGAAGAGAAACAAAAAUACCCAAUGAUACCAGGGACUCUUCAAGGAUAUGGGCAGGCAUUUGUGUUCUCAGAGGACCAAAAGCUGGAUUGGUGCAACAUGUUUGCUCUUGGGGUUGAGCCCCAAUACAUAAGGAACCCCAAAUUAUGGCCAACAAAGCCAGCCAAGUUCAGUGAAACUGUAGAGCUUUACUCAAAAGAAGUGAGGGCACUCUGCAAUAAUCUGUUGAAAUAUAUAGCCAUGAGCCUAGGAUUGAGACAACAAGCCUUUGAAGAGAUGUUUGGGGUGGCUGUGCAGGCCAUAAGGAUGAACUACUACCCAGCAUGUUCAAGGCCUGACCUUGUUUUAGGUCUAAGCCCACAUUCAGAUGGAAGUGCCCUCACAGUGCUGCAGCAAGGAAAGGGCAGCUCAGUAGGACUGCAAAUCCUUAAAGAUAACACAUGGGUGCCUGUUCAGCCCAUCCCAAAUGCUCUAGUAAUCAACAUUGGUGACACAAUAGAAGUUCUUUCAAAUGGUAAAUACAAGAGUGUGGAGCACAGAGCAGUGACUCAUAAGGAGAAAGACAGACUCUCACUUGUCACAUUUUAUGCUCCUAGUUAUGGAAUAGAGCUUGGUCCAAUGCCAGAAUUUGUCGAUGAAAGCAACCCAUGCAAGUAUAGAAGGUACAAUCAUGGAGAGUACAGUAAACAUUAUGUAACAAGCAAGCUGCAAGGUAAAAAAGCCCUGGAUUUUGCCAAGAUUCACACAAAGAUCUCGAACUAGGAAGGCCGACUUAGCCCCCCUACCUUGGGAUACCCAUUAUUAAACUUUGUAUAAAGAGCACAAUAUGAUUAAGUAUCAGUUCUCUAUAUCUGGUAGAAAAAUAUAGACCAAAACACUAGUUAGUGGUAUUCUAUAUCAAAAUCAGUGUGGAUCAUUGGACUGCACUGUUCAUGUGUAUCUCCUUUCUGUAUUAGCCGUGAAUUAAUGGAAUCUUUUCUUUUCAA